CUGAGAAGGGACUACAGCCAUUUCUUCUUUUCAAGUCAGGAUGCAAGAGAGCCAAGUUAGAGGUUCUGUUGUGAGCUUUUCCACUGACAUGCUUGGUCGCUUUCCUCUCUGAAUCUCUCUCUGCAAAGAAGAUGGUAAGCUCAGAAAGAUGGCAAACUCAGGAUGAAGAUGGUAAGAAUUCAAAUAUGGCAGUGUGAGCCAUAUCUCAGCCUGUACUCACUGCUGAUCUUUUAGUUUUCUCCUUUGUAAACAAAUGUCUAUUUGUUUACCCUUAGAAUAGUGCUGGCUGCUAAUGCUUGUUUGAGGGUUAAGACAGGGAAGGAAAAGGAGAAAAAGGAAAGGACAAAAGCUUUGCUGUCAAAUGUGCCACAUGAAAAUGACAAUAGAAAUGCACACUGUUUUAAGAUGACAAGUCUGGGAACAAUCUUUAAUUUAAAGGUUCUUAUCCACAGUUUUCAUAAAGAAAUGUUAAUUAAAAGUGCAAUGACAUGUUUGGGAUUUAAAGGAAAUCAUUCUGCGAAGGAUUUAUAGCAAUCACAGCUCCAGAGCAUUAGGAUUACAGAUCCUUCUGCUGUUCCUUUUCAGUGAUCAUGUGAUUGUCCUGUUGUUAAAUAUAGCUCCCAUUUAGUGAAUCGAGACAGGCAUGGGAAAGGUAGGGAUAGUUUCCCUCUAACCAGCGGGAUUUCAGAGGUGUUGGAGAUUAUACAAUUCAUUAGUUUUAGCAUAAGAUCAAAGGAAGAGGGGAAGUCUUAAUUUGGGCGCCAACUGCUACUGUCUGAAAGUCUUGCAGCUUAAAUGAGAAGUGAACAUUUGCAGUGCUAACUGCUUGUCUUAGAGCAUGAGCCUAUUGUUUUAUAUCUCACAAACUCAUUGUUCUUUUCCUGCAGAUAAUUCUCACACUUAAGACCUUCUGAGAUAGUUAUGUCCAUUGUGAAUAGUUCAGCAACCAACUGGCUCAGAGGUUAUUGCCUAAGCAUCUUUCCCUCGCUCUAAUCCCCUGCAAGGUUUUUUCUGAGCAGUGUUGUUAAUCUAAAAUGACUGCUAACUGACUCCUGUGUCAAACAUUAUUCAUUAUGCACUUUAAAUGCUUCCUGCAGAGGCCAAAAUAAAUUUUGCUUUUUAAAAGCAGACCACAAGGAGUGCCUACAUAGGAUAUUUCCUAAAAGAUUAGACUAAAAAUGGCAGUUAAGAUGUUGGGGGGAAUGAACAGCGUUCACAACAAAGCUUCACAGUUUAACCAGGGAUAAACUUCAGUUACCAAAACCUACUUUCAUAUAGAUUUAUCUAUAAACUAUCUAUAACCGAAGGAAGAGCUCACCCUUACGGGGUGGGAGAAAUACCUUUAUAAAGGGAUGUUAUAAGGUACUUUAUUAGAAAAUGAGGGCCAAAUAAACAAAAAUGUAAAAAGUAGUAAUUCUCCUGUGUCUUGGUUGUGGGUGUUUUUUUUCAGGUGUCACUGGUGUUGGCACAAAGGGAGAGCUUUUUUUGUGUCAGUGGCACUGACAGGCCUUGCAUGCAUAAUGACAGCAUAGGAAUAGACAGACAGAUAGAUUUGAAUAGCAAUAAGGUGGGUUUUCUUCCAGUGUGAAAAGAGCAUGGGAUUCGUGUGUACUGAGAUGAAGUAUAGCCUUGCUGCACAGUGCAAAUAUUUAAUGCUCUUCUAACUAUCCCCAGGUUAUUGGAGUGUAACAGUUAAUAGCCAUCAGCUGCCAAACCCAGUGAGCAGUUUGGGUGCCUAAAAAGAAAAUGAAAAGUUAAAAAAUGAAGCCAAGUCAGACUAGAAACCCACAAAUCAUAAAUGUGCUAUAGCUUAGCAGGCAGAUCAUCUCCAAAGUUCAGAGCAGCGUCAACCUGAGCUGCUGCUUCUCAAAUGAGAGAAGGAUUGAGUACAUCUGUCUUCCAGUCUGAGCUUUGCCAUGUACUCACAGGCCAGCUCUGGCUGGACCUUCUGCUUUCCAGCCCUGUUACUUCUAGUAAUAUUUUUAAGGAGAUGGAGUAUGGCCUGAAAAGAAGAAAAGCAAAGCAUUAUCACUAUUCUGUAUCAAAUAUCUCAAGGCAGUGAUGCAGCAUAAAUUCAUGGAAAAACUGAGGGGCUCCUGAACUGAGUUUGAGAGAAAUCCUGUGCUUGGAAGUUCUCUGUAUCUGCAGUGCUGUAGAUACGGAGAUGUUAACGCUGGCAUAGGAUAUUACACUUAAAGCAUUAAGUAUUACUGUGGAAUUACAAGAGCGUAUAAGAGUAUUUCAAAGAAUGGAUUCAGCUUGAAAAUCACCCCUCUUUCUCUGUGUAUUUUUCUUAGCAAUGCUAGAAGUAGUAAUUAACUGUACUUAAAAAUUGUUCUGUUUUGAACGGACCUGCUUUUUUGAGAAUAAGCCUUGGGAAUAGGCUAUUUCCCUCUGCCCCUAUGAAUCUGCUGGCAGUUUCCAUCACGUAAUUGGCAGCACAGCAGCCCCUGUUCUCAGGCUUCCUCCGGAGGACAGAUCAGAGAACGGAGCAGAUCAGCUCCUCCCAAAGUAGCUGGAGGACACCUCUGGACCCCGGGGAGCAGACAGGAAGGGGCCACAGGCAACCUAAAGCAGGAGCUCUUCUCGCCAUUUCCCCUUGGUUCAUGUGUCAUUUUCAUGGAAAUGAAAUAAAUGAAAUUACUGAUCCCACUUGGAGAUGCCUUUUCAGGAUUAUGACCUACUGGUGGAACUCUUAAUGGCAUUCAGGUAACCUGCAGAAUUUCAUAGAAUCAUGGAGUCACAGAAUAUCCCGACUUGAAAGGGACCCAUGAGGAUUGUUGAAUCCAGCUCCUGGCUCUGCACAGCACUACCCAACAUUCAAACCCUAUGACUGAGAGUUUUGACCUCAAGCAGAAUUUGUGCUGUGACCAUUGCCCUGAGGAGCCUCUUCAGUUUCUGAGGUUCUUCCGUAACUCUCUCACAUGGAUAGACCUAUUUUAGUCUGACCUGUCCUAAAGCAUAGCCAGCUGCUCUGGCUGUCCUGCAGGGUAAGGACAAAGCAGUUUUCUAUUCAUGUCCCAAGGUCAGUACAAAAACAAACACAUUUUGUAUCUGAUAGCAAAAAGCAUUCAUCAGUGCAACUUUUUCAUUCUGUUAAUGGCCACAGAUUUCAGAAGAUGAACACCCUGGAUUUCAGGAAGGUUGUGCUCCAGAUACGACUUGGGUGUAUUAUGAAUACGUACAUGGCACAUUUCAUUGCCUACAAUUAGCAGUAAACAGCCUCUUGAGGCUUGAUGUGUGUUAUGCAACACAGUGUUUCAGGACAAAGCAAGUUCGCUCUCAAGAAACAAGAUUUUUUAGCACACAACCUGGCAAAUUUAGGCUGGGAAAUGAAGAAACUUAUUUGGGAUGACUUGUCAUAGUACUUUUACUAUGGAGAUCUAUGCCAGUUCAGAAGUUAUCACUUUUACCCCCUAGCAGCAGCAGUUUUAAUUGGGCCACAGAAGGAGUCUUGCAGAGGUGGAAGGUAUUUGGGUUUCCCUGAGGCUCAGAGUUCUUCCCUGAGAAGAAGCCUUACAUCUUGUUGGCUCCAAGCAAAAAGAUAAAUUGUAGUGUGCUUGAGUAUUAAGUUGUACAAUAUCAGCUGCAGAUUUGCUUUUUGGGUUGGUGUGCUAAAGUACAGUUUCCUGCUGAACAUCCUUUGUGUGAUAUAUUUGCCUACCUCUGCCUUGUGUUUGCUUCUCCCUCUUGAUCCUUCCCGUAAAGUCGUAAGUCAUGUUUCAUUUAUCUUACCCAUGUACCUUUUUCCUAAUGACCUCAUUUUUCUAUAACAGAGGAAGAUGGGGCAGUAAUGGGGAGGACAUUUGUCCUGUAUUCCUAUUCAUACCUUCUCCCAAGAACUCUCUCACUCCACACUGACUUGACGAUGGAAUUAAAGAAGUAUUUCUUCAUAAAAAGGCAAGUGAGGUUUUUAAUGAUGCAUUGUUACCUAUGACUCUUUCCAUGUUUCAUGCUGUAGUGAGAUAUCGACUCUGUGCUAAACCAGCAGGCAGCCCUACCAGAGGACUAGCCUCUUUUUCUUUAAUUGGCUUUGAUCCUUGUUCUUUAAUUUUCCUUGGACAAAUCCA
Molecule: long non-coding RNA, 4070 nt
Organism: Lagopus leucura (white-tailed ptarmigan)
Lineage: Eukaryota; Metazoa; Chordata; Aves; Galliformes; Phasianidae
Exons: 3
Source: RefSeq, a predicted model, not a curated record